Seriola aureovittata is the source of this 694-nucleotide long non-coding RNA. RefSeq lists it as uncharacterized. Lineage: Eukaryota; Metazoa; Chordata; Actinopteri; Carangiformes; Carangidae. The record is from RefSeq and is a predicted model, not a curated record. The transcript is spliced from 5 exons.
GUCCUGAAGAACCGCUCCCGACAAGAAACCACGUUCAACGGCAAAGAAAAGAAGCAACAGAGUAAAUCUGGAUGUGGCUUUCCACCGCUGGAGAAGCUCCUGAGAGGAAAGAGAUGCGGUUUGAUGCCGAGCUCGCAACUUUCCUGUUAGCCUGGAGAUUUCAGCAUCCCUCUGUCUUUAUCAGGACCUGAGCCAGUACAGGUGCAAUACCGCCUCCACCUGUCUCACCAACGGCAGAGAGUCCAGACAGUGAGGAGGGUCCAGGACCAGAAGUCCAGUCUAAUCAUCAAUGAUGAACCAGCACCUGCCUUUUCUUCUGCAUCUGGCCUCAUCAACCACAUGACAUCAACACCUUGAGUUUUCAUAGGGAUGGCAGAAUCCACCUGGGGCAAGAAAAGGUGACAAAGAAGCUGCUGGUGCUGCUUCUGAAACGGUUGCCUGGGUUACCAAUGUUGGUGUGUUGGCUUUCCAAGAUGGCGGCCGGAUUGUUGACACCACAUCUUCGAGGUGGACCCCCGGGGGUACACCGGUACAGUUAAGCCCAACGUCGUUUUUAUUGCUGGACCUUGUAAAUGAUGUUAAUAACAUGUCAGGGCUCCACAGUCACAGAUAUAGCUACAGCUACAUCAUGUGUAAUUGACUGUUUAGGGGGGGGAAUUAAAUAAAUAAAAUGAAAUGUAUUAUGACAACUUUA